Molecule: transfer RNA, 73 nt
Organism: Altererythrobacter xiamenensis
Lineage: Bacteria; Pseudomonadati; Pseudomonadota; Alphaproteobacteria; Sphingomonadales; Erythrobacteraceae
Rfam family: tRNA
About the family: Transfer RNA (tRNA) molecules are approximately 80 nucleotides in length. Their secondary structure includes four short double-helical elements and three loops (D, anti-codon, and T loops).
Source: Rfam
GGGCCCUUAGCUCAGUCGGUAGAGCAACUGACUUUUAAUCAGUAGGUCGCAGGUUCGACCCCUGCAGGGCUCA